GACGAACGCUGGCGGCGUGCUUAACACAUGCAAGUCGAACGGAAAGGCCUCUUUCGGGGGGUACUCGAGUGGCGAACGGGUGAGUAACACGUGAGUAACCUGCCCUUGACUUUGGGAUAACUUCAGGAAACUGGGGCUAAUACCGGAUAGGAGCUCCUGCUGCAUGGUGGGGGUUGGAAAGUUUCGGCGGUUGGGGAUGGACUCGCGGCUUAUCAGCUUGUUGGUGGGGUAGUGGCUUACCAAGGCUUUGACGGGUAGCCGGCCUGAGAGGGUGACCGGCCACAUUGGGACUGAGAUACGGCCCAGACUCCUACGGGAGGCAGCAGUGGGGAAUAUUGCACAAUGGGUGGAAGCCGGAUGCAGCAACGCCGUGGGCGGGAGGACGGCCUUCGGGUUGUAAACCGCUUUCGCUCAUGACGAAGCUUUGUGUGACGGUAGUGGGUAAAGAAGCACCGGCUAACUACGUG
This 467-nucleotide ribosomal RNA is filed under the name uncultured bacterium. RNAcentral's name for it is "partial 16S ribosomal RNA". It matches the Rfam family "Bacterial small subunit ribosomal RNA", at positions 28 to 507 of the family's 1533-position model. The record is from RNAcentral.